GUACUCGCGGCGGCCCGGCCCUCGCCCGGGAGUGCGUGUGUGCGCGCGUGUGUAUGUGUGUGUGUGUGUGCGUGUGCGCGAGUGUGUGUGCGGGGUGCGCGCGCGGGCGGGAGUGGGCGCGCGCGGGGAAAGGCCCGAAAACACCUUAGUUUGCACCGAGAGACCAUUUGCAGCGGAACCCGAAAGUUUGCAAGAGGAAGAGAGCGCGCGGCGAACAAGCGGGCAAGGGGCAGCGGCAGCGGCGCCGCCAGGGACCAUGGUGCUGCCGGCGCCUCCUCCGCGGGCGUGAAGGCGGCGCUCCCACUCUCCCCUCGGACUCCGCGGUGUCCCAGGAGCUUCUGCUGACAAUUCCAGUUUCCACACGCAACAUUUGGGCAAUGGUGAGGGCUUCGGUCCCUUCUUUGGUUUGCUGUCAACCAUGAAUGGAUGGAUUUGAUGCCUGCUGGCCAAAAGGGUGAAUUGAAAAGUUGGGCCUUUAAAAGCACGAAGGGAGAGAGGGACUCAGAAGCGAAUGCGUCUGAUUUUUCACUUUGCAGCCAGUUAAUUCUUUGAAACCCCACCCCGUCCAACAUUGUCCCUCUGUGUGUUGCAGUCCUGUGGCAUUAUGCAUGCCCCCAGCCAGUGACCCCCCAGGCUUUUUAUGGCUGUGAGACACGUUAAAAGUUCAGGGGUAAGAAGUGACCUUUUGAGGUGACUCUAACUGAAGAUUGCUUUACAGAAGCCAGAAAAGGUAAAUGCAAAUAUGAUCAGUGGAAUUGCAUCUAGGGCUGUAAUACCUUCUAGGCAUCUUCAUUCAGCUCUUUUCCUAUCUACGUAAUUAUCAAAUCUUUGUGUAUUUAUUUGUGUGUAAGUCUGUUUUUAGAGGUCUUUAAAGAAAAGAUUGUCCUUAAGAAAUGGUUUCCAGGGUCACAUUUUCCCCCUUAAAUAUUAUCAAACUUGUCCCCUGCUUGUGGAAGCUGAACUUUUUUUUUUUUUGGUUGUUGACUUGGUGGGUUUAAAGUUAGAAAGGAAAAUGCACAUCACAAAAAUGGUGAUUCAUAAAAUGAACUUGCUGCAAACAGGAGUAACCCGUGUCAGUGUUCUGUGCUGAAGUGGUGUCACGCUAUGGAUGUUCAUCUGGCAGCUUUAUAAUCACCUUCUUUCAGAAAUUAAUAGUCAGGCGCCAUAGCAACAUGCCGCGUUGAUGUAACUGCCGUGUGGCGUGGGGCAUGUCCCUGUGAUGUCAGUGCUCAGCUGCCUUGUUCUCUUGACCUUGCUGGAAAAUCAAAUGAGUACUUGAUUUUAAAAUUAGAAGUUUUCAUCACGACUCAUGUAGCUUGAUGAAUUAAAGCUAAAUUAAAUUUUCUCCGACUCACUUUUGGGAGCAGGGGCAAAAAAAAAAAAAAAGUCUUCUGGUUAAAGUGGUUAUAGAUGCUGCCUAUUAUUUUUGAUUCCCAAAGUAUCUCUCCGGUGAGGGCCCUGGUCACCUCACCUAAGUUAAUCUUACAGGUCAUUUUUAAGUCUGAUGUUUCUCAGGUUGCGAGCAUCUUCCUACUAUUGUUGAAUCUUGGCCAGUGGUAAUUCCAUUCGAUUUAGUAGAUCUGUGUCUAUUUUAAAACAGGUUAUUUGCCAGCCUGGUUGCACAAAGCCUUUGCUCAGAUCAAAGAUGAUUUGUAAGAUACAGACUUCUUAUUACUACUCUUCAGUUGAGCAAAGUUUUUUGUGAAACUUUCAUAAUGUGAAGAUUCUUAGAUCGGUUUUGUUUUUAAUUUCACAUACGGUUUGGGGUGCUAGAAGGCAUUAUAAAGGUAGGGAUUUGCUUUUCUUGUUGCAUUUUGGCACAUUUGAUUUGGACCAAAAAAAUCCAACCAACUUGCCUCAUUUCAUCAUCAUUCUUGUUUAAAUUAAACAAUAUGGGAAGCACCAGAUUGUCCUCCAAAGAGUUCAGUGCCUUUCGGAUGUCCUGGCGUGGAAAAGGUUGAUUCCAACCACUAAUUUGGGUUGUCAAGGUAACAGCCAUUGGGCAAAGCACACCAGUCCCCAUCUCCCAGUCUCAGUCAAGUUCAGGGAUCUGCAACUUUUUUCUAAAGAGAUGCCCAGUCAGUAUUUCCUAUGUUGUGGGCCCUUCUGUGUCUCUGCCACAGCUACUCAGCUGUACGUUGUGAGUUCUGGUCUCUGUGAUCCCUGCAAGGUCUCAAUCCAAGAUGUUCGUCAUACAGAGCCAUGCCAGGUGCUUAACUCAUUUUGUGUGGUUGGUGAAGGUUUCUGGUGAAGCUAAAAAUUAUGACUAAACAAAGCCGAAAAAGUGAUUGAAAAGAUGAAAUAUUCAGCUUGAGAGUUGUGUUAUCCCUGUAACCCCCAAAAUGGGCUUCGUUAGUAGGUUUUCAUGGUUUUAUUUGGAAUCACCUAUAAGCAUAAAUUAUUUUUCUUCCAACUUGAUGUCUUUUGAUGACAUUGAAGCUUACACCUAUGACCUGAAAAUGUUUGAAAUUGUGUGAUAUGGUUUUUCCCAAUUCUGUGCUAAUGUUCGGAGUUAAGGAUAUCAUGAGUCUAGGGUAAGUUUGGCGGAGAGAAAAAGCUUCCAGUAAUUUGUCAUUAGUGUUGACUCAGAAAAAUGGUCUAUGGGGAGGAAAAAAAAAAAAAUCUUUUUUUUAUAACUAAUGUCAAGAACAUGGUAUAGUAUACACUAUCUUGCAAGUCAGGAACCCCUUGUUGAAAGGGGUUUCAAGAACAUAGAAAAACUUUGUUCCUUUGCCUCCUUUCAUAAAACAAAGGAAGCCGAACAACAAAAUCAUAUAAUUUUUGUUUUGACUGCUAGGAAUCUCAAAGUAAGAGAUUUUGCCUUAUCUUAGUAAUUUUUUCUAACUUGAACUUUCCGGUGUUAAUAAUUUUCCUUUUCAUUUUUUGGCCACACCUGAGGUGUAUAGGAAUUCCCAGGCUAGGGGUCAAAUUAGAGCUGUAGCUCUGGCCUAUGCCACAGCAAUGCCAGGGUCACAUCCAAGCCGUGUCUGUGACCUACGCAGCCACUUGUGGCAACACCAGAUCUUUAACCCACUGAGUGAGGCCAGAGAUUGGACCCACAUCCUCACAAAGACAGCAUUGGGGUUUUAACCUGUUGAGCCACAAGGGGAACUCCUGAUAUUAUAUUUUUAAGUCAACUUAAUGUUUCUGGCUCCCAAUUAACAUUUUAUUAUUUAACUAUUUUUCUUCUACAAUAUCAACUUCAUUGUAUUAUGGCUCUUUUCAAGUAUUUUUUAAAGAAAAAUGUUAUAUAGACAAAUAAUAAAUUACAUGUACUUUUUAAUCUUUUAAUAAGCUUGAGGAUCCUUCAGAAAUGAAUCCUUGUACAUCUUGAUCUCUUAUGUAUAAAGGAAAAAAAAACUUGUUAAAAAAUAUGAAAUCUAGCAGUUUCCGAUGUGGUGCCGCAGGUAAAGGAUCCAGUUUUAUCUCUGUGGUGGCUUGAGUUCAAUCCCCAGCCCAGCACAGUGGGUUAAGGAUCCAGCGUUGCUAAUACAGCUCUGGGGUAGGUCACUGCUGCAGCUUGGAUUCAAUCCCUGGCCUGGAAGCUUCCAUAGGACACGUGUUUUGCCAUAAAAAAUGUAUACAUGUAAGAUCUUUUUAAAAAUGUAUGAAGUGGAUAGGGUCUUGAGUGUUUCUUCCCAGUGAAUAAACUUUGAAGAGAUUGUGCUGCCUAGCAAUGGUCAAAAAACCAAGAAGGAUGUAGGUUUCAGAUGCCAGGAACUCUUUAGACAAUGCCAUGCCCAAUUUGAAAUCUGGGAAUCAUUAAGAAUCAGCGUAAAUGCAAAUAAAUGUGCCUAUAUUGGUGCUACGGGAAUGUCUGGUUAUGUGCAUAAAAGUGGCCAGGCAAAUUCAGAAAACCAGAUGAAGCCACUUUUCCAGUUUAGAUUCAGAAGUCUGAAGAAUCAUAAAUAAACAGUCCAUCGUACUUGGUAGUGAUACAACAGUUUCUUCCAAGUAGGUUUGAGCACUUUACAAAAUAGGUCUGGUUGCUGGCAUUCCUGAGAGGUAGCCAGUGAUUAUUGUAAUCCCUACUUUACAAAGACAGCAUUGAGGCCUUAACCUGCUGAGCCACAAGGCGAACUCCCGAUAUUAUAUUUUAAGUCAACUUAAUGUUUUUGACUUAGUGAUGAUUAGUAAUUUACCCAAGGCCAUGGAGAAUAUCAAGACUGGAGCUAAAAAGACAACUUGCUCUGGUCACAGUUAUAUGGAUGUCAUUCUCUCUUGGCUGCCUGGCUUGGUGGUUCAAUAAAGGCUUAUAUGUCAUUUUCUUCCUGCUUCCCCCGGAUAUUUUCGCAAUUCACCCACACACAUAUUUGCUUAAAAUUCAACUCGAAUUUGUGAAAUUCAUUGUCUUGGAUUCAGUUCUGAAUAGCACUGAGAGUAAUGGAUUAUCAUUGUCAAGCCAAUCUAAGUGGCAGAUAAAUGAUUCUUUUAAACGUAAGUCAUCUUUAAGCUUCAUAAUUUUUUUUUUUUUGUCUUUUUGCCAUUUCUUGGGCCACUCCUGCGGCAUAUGGAGGUUACCAGGCUAGGGGUUCAAUCGGAGCUGUAGCCGCCGGCCUACGCCAGAGCCAUAGCAAUGCAGGAUCCAAGACGCGUCUGCAACCUACACCACAGCUCACGGCCACGCCGGAUUGUUGACUCACUGAGCAAGGUCAGGGAUCGAACCCGCAACCUCAUGGUUUCUAGUUGGAUUCGUUAACCACUGUGCCACGAUGGGAACUCCAAGCUUCAUAUUUUGUAUUGGUUCAGUUUAGCAGUCAGCUUAUUUAUGAGAAAGUUAAACAAUAUAAAAGAAAGUGUGGUCACUGCAAUUUUUCUUCCACCCCAAUUUGAACUAUUUUUUUGUUACGGCAAGGGGUUACAGUGUCUUUAAGGACUUCACUUAUUGACUCUUACAUAUUACAGAUUAUUUCUUGGUUACAAAUAAAGAUAGCUAUCCAGCCAUUUAAAAUAUAUUCAUUGAUUCUUUUGAAAGUAUGUUAUUUAUGUUAUUUAAAUCUUUACUUAGUGACCAUGACAAUAUUCAGAGUUAAAGUCAUUCAAAAUGACCUCUCUGUAGCAUUCAGCAUUUGAAUUUGCUUGGCUGUUAAUUCAUGAAGUUGUUAGGAAGACACUGGGAAACUGUCUUUGUUGAGCCACCAGCUGACCACAUUGGGUGAAAUGACUAGCCAGUCAGUUUAGUUAAACUUUGAAUUCCACCCUGCCUCCCCUUCACACUGUAGACCCCUGCCUGGGUUGUAUCACUCAGGGUAAAGUCUAGACUGGUAAAGCAUAAAGGCUAACGCAGAAAGGGCUAAAUAUAAUAGAAGUUUACUUCUCUGUCUCAUCUAAUAAUCUGGCCGGUCUAGCUUGACUGGAUAGCAUCUUUAUCUUUUGUGCAUUCCUGCUUUGGGCCUUUGUCCUUAUCUACAUGGUUGAAAUAUAGUGAAGUCCAAAGCAAGCAAUUUUCCUUGAAGCAAAUGACUUAAAAAUUGCACACAUCACAUCCAUUGACAUUUAAUUGGUUAGAUUAUGAUCAUUUCGCAAGAAGCUGCAAUGGCUGCUGGGAAAUACCUCUACCUGGGUAGCCAGGAGCUUGAGAGAAUUGGAGAGUAGAGUUAAGUGGAAAGGUAAGGCACUAACAACUUGAUUGGUUGAAUGGCCCCAAUCCAGUAAUUUCUUUCAUUCAUUCAUAUGUACAUACAUACGGAUGUACAUGUGACAAACAUACACACAUGUAUAUACAGACACAUUAAUUCCUACUGCAUGUUUAUUGAUGAUUUUGUGGUAGGUGCUAAUAUCAUAGCACUACAUGAAAAGGAUUCUGCCUCUGUGCUCCUAGAGUUUAUAUUUUAUUUUAUUUUAUUUAUUUAUUUAUUUAUUUAUUUAUUUUUGGUCUUUUUGCUAUUUCUUGGUCUUGGGCCGCUCCCGCGGCAUAUGGAGAUUCCCAGGCUAGGGGUCCAAUCGGAGCUGUAGCCACCGGCCUACACCAGAGCCACAGCAACGUGGGAUCCAAGCCGCGUCUGCAACCUACACCAUAGGUCACGGCAACGCCGGAUCAUUAACCCACUGAGCAAGGGCAGGGAUCGAACCCACAACCUCAUGGUUCCUAGUCGGAUUCGUUAACCACUGUGCCACGACGGGAACUCCUAGAGUUGAUAUUUUAAAAGGGAACAGACAUUAGGAAUGAUGAUAAUGACAACUGUUAGGAAGGGCAAAGAUUGGUUGCUCUGAGAAAAGUGUUCUCUAAAAGAGAGACCAGAGUAUCAGGGAUUUAUGUAGUUGAGCAUUACCUGGAAGCUCUGUUAGAUUAAUUUGAGUUUCUUGUCUCUUUCGUGCCAGUGUUCCUGUGAAUGUUAUUAGGCAUGUUAAUUUCUUGUUCAUAGCUUUAUUGAGAUAUAAUUCACACACAAUACAAUUCACUCAUUUAAAGUGUACAGUCAUUGUAUUCACAAGAGUUGAAAAGCAUCAUCACAAUUUAGUUUUAGAACAUUUCCAUCACCCCGGAGAGAGAUCCCCUACCCACUAGCAGUUAUUUCCCCUCCCCAGCCCCUGGCAACAACUACUUAACUUUCUGUCUGUAGAGUUUUACCUCUUCUGGAUAUUUUACAUACAUGGCAUCAUCUAGUAUGUAGUCUUUUCUGACUGACUACUUUCUCUUAGCAUAGUAUUUUCGAGGUUCAUCCAAAGCAUUCAGAUUUUUAGCUAUCUUAUAGCUGAAGAAUUGUACACAUUCUUACUCCUAAAUGUGAGAAAAUGGUGGCCUGAAAUACUCUUGCAGGGGAUGGAAUUGGGGGAAAAAUGCCUAUUUUCAUGUUGUUCGUGUUUCUGUAGAAAAAGACUUGGCCUCCGAACAGUUAAACUUUAGAAUUUAAAUGUUUGCAUUUUAAGUUGGCUGUUUUUAAACAUUGUUAACCAUAAUGCUAAACUAAGUAACUUGUAAACAAGAGCUGUCUCUCUUGAAUGUUAGUUUCAAAGAAAAAAAAUUUUAAAAUAUUGAUUUCUAGAGAAAUAUGCCCAAUAGAGUUCGUUUUCAAGCAGAAGUCACUUGUUGAAAUGUACAUAAAGGCAUAUUUUGUGUUAAAGACAAUAUUUGCAGCAAUUAUCAAGUAAGCCAUAUUUUGCACAGUGAACAAUCAAAAAUACAAAUAACAAAUGGUUUGAUUCAUCUUCUUUAAAAUGACAUUUUUGCUCUUCCAUCUGCCAAGGGCACAAAUACCCCACCUGCUCACCUUGAGUGUCUUUGGAAGAAGUUCUCAGCUUAGGUGACAACUUAACCAAGGUGGCAGGAAGUACUGCCUUUCUUUCACAAUUCAUAAAUCUCAGGAGAAUAUCUGAAGCUUAAAAAUGUACAAAACCAAAACCCUGCGUAUGGUAGCAUACCUAUAAUAACCUUAACUGCUUACCUUCUCGUAUCCAGUAACAUCUAGGACCUUAAAGGAGAAAACGGUUUAUCAAUGAAGAACCCUUAUUUUUCAGUCUGUUUUCAAAGUUGACACUUUCUGCCCAGGGUAUUGAUGUUGAUGGUAUCUUCUUUUGAAAGACUUGUGGUGAGCUGGACUUUUAUACAUGGAAAAGGAUGUUAAUCAUGUAAGUUUGUGCUUCUCUGUCCUUGCUCUGAACUACUAUACUUCCUUGGCUUUUGCAUGGGUUGGGAGUGAGGGGAAAGAAAAACUGCAAAACCUGAAGUCUUUGUACUCUAUUCAGAUGUGCUCUUUUUGAAGUGUGAAGAUCAUUCAGAGUUUCUCUUGACUCUUGUAUAUUAGCAUGUAUGUGGUAUAUAAUUAAAGGUAAUUAGGUGUUUUGGUAACUACCUGACAGAGGAGUGAGUUAUUUAAAAUUAUCACUUACUUAAAAAAAAAAAAAAAAAAAA
Molecule: long non-coding RNA, 7852 nt
Filed under: Sus scrofa (pig)
Lineage: Eukaryota; Metazoa; Chordata; Mammalia; Artiodactyla; Suidae
Description: lncRNA (ENSSSCG00050037628.1)
Source: RNAcentral